GACCUCAGUUCAGGUGAGAUUACCGGCUGAAUUUAAGCAUAUUACUAAGCCGAGGAAAAGAAACUAACAAGGAUUCCCCUAGUAGCAGCGAGCGAACAGGGAAGAGCCCAGCGCUGAAUCCCCCGGGCCUCGCUCGGCGGGAAAUGUAGCGUUUGGGAGGGCCCGUCAACACGGCGACUCGCUCACUGGUUCAAGUCCAACUUGAAUGGGGCCACACAGAGGGUGACAGGCCCGUAGAGCAGGAGCGGUUGUCGUGUGGGUCUCUCCUUAGAGUCGGUUUGCUUGAGAGUGCAGACUUAAGUGGGUGGUAAACUCCAUCUAAGGCUAAAUAUGACCACGAGACCGAUAGCACACAAGUACCGUGAGGGAAAAGGUGAAAAGAACUUUGAAGAGAGAGUUCAAGAGUAAGAGAAACUGAAGUGGUGUAAACGGACGAGUUCGAAAAGUCCGAAUGGUGAGAUUCAAGCUUACCGUGCCGGUGGCCCUCGGGUUCAGAUGGCGUCGUCAGCUCGGGCUUCGGUUCGGGUCAUACGGCGUCACUCGUCCUGGGGGUAUCUGUCUGGUGCGGUGGGCUGCACUUCUCGCCUAGUAGGACGUCGCGACCCGUUGGGAUGUUCCGUUCACUGGCCCUCGGUGGAGCCCGCGCCGGAGCGUGGCCUUGUGCCGCGUUGCUGUUUGCACGGACCCGGGGUGACCUGAUCGGCGCCCGACGGUAUCAAAGCUUGGGAAGAGGCCGCACAGAGGAUGCGUUCGAUGGCCGUUUCGGCCUACACUCGGACAGG
This 782-nucleotide ribosomal RNA is filed under the name Frankliniella occidentalis (western flower thrips). RNAcentral describes it as "eukaryotic LSU rRNA". It matches the Rfam family "Eukaryotic large subunit ribosomal RNA", at positions 1 to 621 of the family's 3401-position model. The record is from RNAcentral. Lineage: Eukaryota; Metazoa; Arthropoda; Insecta; Thysanoptera; Thripidae.